Long non-coding RNA from Dipodomys ordii (Ord's kangaroo rat), 383 nucleotides. RefSeq lists it as uncharacterized. The record is from RefSeq and is a predicted model, not a curated record. The transcript is spliced from 2 exons. NCBI's taxonomy places the organism in Eukaryota, Metazoa, Chordata, Mammalia, Rodentia, Heteromyidae.
AGGUGACGCCGACGCCGCGGCCCGGACCGUCCCCCGGGGGUCGCGUCGGUCAAACGCUAACGCUUGGAGGCCGCGUCCGAUCUGGGAUGUUCCCUGGCCAUUCCUGUGACCGUGGAGGGGGGCAAAUAAAGCCGGUCCACUUUCGUUCUGACACAUUGUUUUCAGCAACAGAUAUUUCCGAAAGUCCUUGCCUUGGUUCAAAUGAACAUUCCUGGAGGUCUUGAUUAGAGGAAUGCAACAGUCAACUGUGGACAACUGCACAGGGCCACAAACGUGAUGGGAACGGUGAGAAUAAAUGAUGGUCGCAAGGUUUCACCAUGGUUGAACCAUGUCCCAUGUGCUCCAAAUACUUCACAUAAGCUAAUGUAUGUCGCUGCAUCCUG